RNAcentral lists this ribosomal RNA (178 nucleotides) under Clonostachys rosea. Its description in RNAcentral is "partial large subunit ribosomal RNA". It matches the Rfam family "Eukaryotic large subunit ribosomal RNA", at positions 96 to 279 of the family's 3401-position model. The record is from RNAcentral. Lineage: Eukaryota; Fungi; Ascomycota; Sordariomycetes; Hypocreales; Bionectriaceae.
AAGCGGCAACAGCUCAAAUUUGAAAUCUGGCGCAAGCCCGAGUUGUAAUUUGUAGAGGAUGUUUCUGGCGACGUGCCUUCCGAGUUCCCUGGAACGGGACGCCAUAGAGGGUGAGAGCCCCGUACGGUUGGAUGCCUAGCCUCUGUGAAACUCCUUCGACGAGUCGAGUUGUUUGGGA